Molecule: long non-coding RNA, 22055 nt
Filed under: Lactuca sativa (garden lettuce)
Lineage: Eukaryota; Viridiplantae; Streptophyta; Magnoliopsida; Asterales; Asteraceae
Description: long non-coding RNA (LSAT_LNC004038)
Source: RNAcentral
AUGUUAAUUACAUUUAUCUAUUACACGUUUCUAAUACUAUCUAAUCUAUGCUAAUAUCAUCCUUCAGCCCAAUACUCCUAGCAUGCUGCAAGUGCUUAACCCUACUCAGUCCCUUCGUAAGCGGAUCUGCUGGGUUAUCUUCUGAUGAUAUCCUCUUCACUACGAGUUGUCCUUCUUCUACACGAUGUCUAAUAAAGUGAUAUUUUCUGUCGAUAUGUCGAGAUCUACCAUGAUCCCUCGGUUCCUUGGUCAAGGUAACCGCUCCUUCAUUAUCAUAGAAAAUCUCCAUGGGCUCCUUUAUGGUAGGUACAACUCCAAGAUCACCGAUGAAGUUCUUCAACCAUAUAGCCUCCUUCGACGCUUUGCUCGUUGCAGUGUACUCUGAUUCACACGUUGAAUUAGCUAUGGUUUUCUUCUUGGAACUUUUCCAAGUUACUGCUCCUCCAUUCAGGGUAAAGACCCAGCCCGACUGCGAACGGUAGUUGUCCCUGUUGGUCUGAAAGCUGGCGUCACUAUACCCUCGCACCUUCAAGUCAUCACUCCCUCCGAGGACUAAGAACCAUUCCUUCGUCCUCCGAAGGUACUUAAGGAUAUUCUUCACCGCAAUCCAAUGUGCUUUGCCAGGAUUCCCUUGAUAUCUGCUAACCAUGCUCAAAGCGAAGGCUACAUCAGGGCGAGUACAAGUCAUAGCGUACAUGAUUGAGCCAACUGCGGAAGCGUAUGGUACUCGGCUCAUUUCUGCUAUCUCAGCUUCGGUACUCGGACUUUGAGUCUUACUCAAUUUGGCAUUACUUUGUAUCGGUAGUUCUCCCUUCUUUGAGUUUUCCAUACUAAAACGUUUUAGUACCUUCUCUAAGUAAGUAUUCUGACUAAGUCCAAUUAGUCUCUUACUUCUUUCUCUUACUAUCCUUAUUCCCAAAAUGUAAGAAGCCUCUCCGAGGUCCUUCAUAGCGAAGCACUUCCCGAGCCAGGACUUAACCUCCUGCAGAGUCGGGAUGUCGUUUCCUAUGAGUAAUAUGUCAUCGACAUAUAGAACGAGGAAGCUUACUAUACUCCCACUGGCUUUGACAUAUACACAAGAUUCGUCUUCGCUUCGUACAAAUCCAAACUCUUUGACUUUCUCAUCGAAGCAAAGAUUCCAUCUGCGAGACGCUUGCUUAAGUCCAUAAAUGGACUUCUCAAGCUUACACACUCUAUUCGGAUGCUUCGGAUCCACAAACCCCUCUGGCUGAGCCAUGUAAACAUCCUCAGCCAACUUUCCGUUAAGGAAAGCGGUCUUGACAUCCAUUUGCCAAAUCUCAUAAUCAUGAAAUGCGGCAAUUGCUAGCAUCACUCUAAUAGAUUUAAUCUUCGCAACUGGUGAGAAGGUCUCAUCAUAGUCAACUCCGGGAGUUUGAGUAAAGCCCUUCGCAACCAAUCGCGCUUUAUAUGUGUGUACGUUUCCAUCCACGUCGGUCUUCUUCUUGAAGAUCCAUUUGCACCCAACGGUCUUACGUCCGGGCACAUAAUCAACCAAAUUCCAAACUUGGUUAUCAUACAUGGAUUGGAUCUCGCUAUCCAUUGCCUCUUUCCAUUUCGCAGACUCCGGGCCUGCCAUGGCUUCCUUAUAGCUAUUAGGUUCAUCAAGAUUUAUUAGUGUACCAUCACUAAUAUACGUGUCCCCUUCGGUAGUAAUAUGAAAACCAUAAAACUGGGGUAGAACUCUAACUCUUUCGGAACGUCUAAGAGGUAAGGACUCGUCAAUCGGUUCAACCGGAGUUUCCUCCUCGGGUUGAGUGCCAGCGGUAGAGGUUCCUUCAUCUAUCGACUCUUGAAUCUCUUCAAGCUCGAUUUGCCUCCCACUGUCUCCUUGGCUUAUGAGUUCUCGCUCUCGGAAAACUCCUCUCCUCGCAACAAAGACAACAUUGUCCUUCGGUCUAUAGAAGAGAUAUCCAAAGGAUUUCUGCGGGUAGCCGAUGAAAAUACAUCGCUCACUACGAGGUUCGAGCUUGUCGUGAGUAUCUCGUCUUACGAAAGCCUCGCAACCCCAAACCUUGAUAUGUGCUAACGAGGGAGCUUUCCCUGUCCACAUCUCGUGAGGUGUUUUGGCAACCUUCUUAGUAGGGACUCGGUUAAGGAUAUGGGCGGCAGUCUCUAAGGCAUACCCCCAAAAAGAGAUAGGUAGUGAAGCACGACUCAUCAUAGAGCGAACCAUGUCUAACAAGGUUCGAUUACGCCUUUCUGCCACACCAUUCAACUGUGGUGUCCUAGGUGGCGUCAAUUGUGAAACUAUUCCACACUCCUUGAGAUAGUCGUGGAAUUCAAGACUUAGGUACUCUCCUCCUCGAUCGGAUCGAAGCAUCUUGAUUUUCCUGCCCAAUUGAUUCUCCACUUCAUUCUUGAACUCUUUGAACUUUUCAAACGUUUCUGACUUUUGCUUGAUUAAGUAGAUAUACCCAUAUCUACUAUAGUCAUCGGUAAAAGUCACAUAGAAGCGGUUCCCAUCCUUUGUGGUUGAUCUAAACGGUCCACAUACAUCGGUAUGUAUGAGGUCCAAUAAACCCUCACCCCUUUCACAUGUGCUAGUGAAGGGUGACUUGGUCAUCUUUCCAAGUAAACAAGACUCGCAUGUGUCAUCUUCCCUAAGGUCGAAUGACUCCAACACUCCAUCCUUUUGGAGUUGGGCUAUGCGCUUCUUGUUGACAUGUCCAAGACGACAAUGCCACAAGGAUGCUCUAUCCAUACCAUUGGAAGAAUCCAUGCAUAAAACAUCAUUUCCUAAGUUAUCUACAAUCAUAACAGUUUCAUAAAUUCCAUUACACGGUAUUGCUUCAAAAUAUAAGACACCAUUUAGAUAAGCAAGAAUAGAACCAUUCUCAUUAUUAAAAGAAAAUCUAAAACCUUGUCUAAACAAACCAUGAAAUGAAAUGAUGUUUCUUGCCAUUUCUGGCGAAUAGCAACAAUUGUUCAAAUCUAAACAUAAACCAUUCCUAAGCACUAAAGAAUACACUCCAAUCUUGGUCACAGGCGACGAUCUUCUGUUCCCCAUGAUUAGAUUUAUUCUUCCAUGCUCCACAUCCCUAUUUCUUCUUAGUCCCUGCAAUUCAGAACAAAUGUGGUAACCACAACCGGUAUCAAGGACCCAAGAAAUAGCAUGAGAUGAAUCAUUAGAUUUAAUUGUGUAUAUACCUGCGAAAGACGGCUUGAUCUUUCCUUCCCUGAUGGCUUGCAGGUAGUCUGGGCAGCUUCUCUUCCAAUGCCCUAUUUUAUGGCAAUGAUGGCACUCUGCCUCCUUUGGGUUAGGGUUAGGCUUAGCGGGAUCAACUUUGGUUCCACUAGAGGAGGAACCAUCUCGGGACUUUCCCUUGCGGUGGCUCUUAGACGGAGCCUUCCUCUUUUUGCCUCUUCCUUGCCUAAUGGCCAAAACAGGAGCAGCGGGUGGAUUGGGAGUGGAUGCAACCGACUUGUCCUUGAGGUUGCUUUCAUCAAUCCUAAGGAGACCUUGGAGCUUACUUAGGGUAACCUUUUCUUUGUUCAUGUGGUAGGUCAUCCUAAAUUGAUUUUAACACGGAGGCAAAGAGUGAAUCACCAUGUCGAUCGCCAAGUCUUCCCCAAAGUCAACAUCCAACUUGCGAAGAUGAUCGACAUACCUUUGCAUCUUUUGCAGGUGCACGGUUAGAGAUUCUCCAUGACCCAUUUUCGCGGAGAUCAUGUUAGUGAAAAUCUCGUAACGCUCCUGCCUCGCGUUUUGGUGGUAUCUCUCCAACAAGUCUUGGUGCAUUUCGUACGGAUACAUGUCCUCAUAGGACUUUUGGAAUUCGGCGUUCAUUGUGGCUAUCAUGAUGCAAUGAACCUUCGUCGCAUCACGUUCAUGAGUCUCAAAAGCAGUCAUUUCAGCCGGAGUAGCGAUUUCUGGAUUGAUUUUCUCAAGCUUCUCAUCGAGGACAUACUCCUUGUCCUUGUACCGAGCAAUUGUGCGAAUGUAUCUUAUCCAUUCGCUAAAGUACGUCCCAUCGAAAUUCAACUUUUGACAAAGGCUCAUCAAUGUUAAAGAACUAGCAGCAGCGUUGUUCGCGUUCGACAUUUACAAAUAGAAAGGACAAAGAUAGAUUAGAAUUGUGAAUCCCUAAUUAUCACCCAACAAGAAAAAUUAGGGCUAGGAUCCAACAACAAUAUUUACAUAUUAGAAAAGGGAUGCCGUAAUCUAACAUGCAAAUAAUUUGAAGGUAAGUGAAUGACGAUUCACUAAUUCUCCACCAUAAAAACCUAACUAUAAGUCCUAAAUGUAUUGAGAAUUCCUAGGUUCGGAUGAGAUUCAUUGAAACUAUUCAAUGGCAUGUUUAAAUCUCGAUAUGCCCCUCUCGUUUGUGACUGGGAUACCGAGGAUCACAAAGCGGGUGUGAAUUACCAUGCAAAUUCACAUGGUGCCUUCAUUGUAACAAUCACCUAUUCGAUGUGCCGGUAAACCACACACGCUCCAUCGAACUAUGAUAAACAAUGAAUCACCCUUUGCCACCUUUGCUUAGAACCAAUUAGUGUGCCGGUAAACCACACACGCUCCACUAACUUCUUAGCAAGGGUGCAAAGUGUAAUUUCAUGGGAUUGCAUCAAUUCACUUUUCCUAAAGUAACUAGGAUUGGGAAAUUUUAAAAUAUGUGUAGUUACUUUGUAUUUCUUAUUAUACUUUUAAUGAGAGGAUGAGGUUGCCCUAUCCUACCCGUUCGGCUAACGACCCUCCACCGAUCAAGCAAGCGGUGGGUGUGAGUGUACACCCAUUAAGCGCCAUUUUAUAGGCCGCAACCUUAUACCCACCUUAUAGACCGGCUUCGUGAAUGAGGCCUACUAACGGUAAGACUAGCAUUUUUAAUUAUAUAUAUAUAUAUAUAUUAAUCUUGUAAUAUUAUAUUAGUAUAGGGUUGAAUUUUAAACUUGUAAAAUUCUAGGGUUUGAAAUUUAAAUUGUCUAAAUUAAACUUUUAAUCACAAAACAUAAAUUUCAAAACUUGAGGGCAAGUUUUAAACUUUUCAAAACAUAGGGGAUCAAAUAACAAAUAAUCUAAAUUAACAUUUAAUCACAUAAUUAUCCAUAUUUGAUUUAUUUAAUAAUUUCUUGCAAAACAAUUUACCAAUUUAAUUAAAAUAAUUAAUCAAUUAUCACAUAAGGAAAUAAAUAUUUUAUUAAUUGAUAAAUAUCUUCAAUUAGAUCAAGAAUAUACUCAUAUAUAUCAUAAAAUCGGAUUUAUAUUGAUCUAAUAUGAUAAACGCAAGUAUCUCAAAGAUAAACAGCAAGAAAUCCCAAUAUUUGCUCUUUCUGACGCUUGGACUCACCGAGUACCCCAAUGGACUCGUCGAGUACACUAUGAGACUCGCCGAGUCCAUCAGACAUAAACAUAAAAUUCGAAUUUAGCAAGCAUCAAACAAGCAACCAAUGCAUCAAUUCAAUAGAAACCAACCUGGCUCUGAUACCACUAAUGGGUUUUAGCCAUAUGAACAUUCCUAUGUGCACAUGCAACCCUAAUGCUUGGAUCUAGGUUUCUCUAAUUAACCAUGCAUUGAAUCCUAGACUUCUAAUGACUAAUAGAGCAUCAUAACAUAAGAAAUCAGAAUUAGAAGUUUACCUUGAAUCACUUGCUUGAUCUUCUUGUCCUUGGAGCUUUAGAGUCACAAUUGUCACUCCUCUAAUGGCUUACAAACACCAACUAGCAAGAGGAUGAUUUGAGGGAGAGGAGAGGGGAUCAAAAUCGGCCAGGGUUUCUUUCUAAAGCACAAGUGCCGAUUUCUCUUGACCCCUAGGGUCUAUUUAUACUAGUGAGGCUCUUAGGGUUUCACCCUUAAACCCUAAUUGGAUAACUUAGGCCCUAAGCGAUCCAAUACCCUAAUUGAUAAGCCUUUGGACGGAUUCUAAGUCUAUCCUAAGCCCUAGAAAUCGUCCACCAUUAUCCAUAAAGGAUUUAUAGCCCAAAGUACAACUAUCAUACAAUUGACAGUUUAUACCCUUUUAUUCAAUUAAUCUCUUUAAGUCACCAAAUUAAUUCCUAAUUAAUUAAUGACUUAUAUUAAUCAAAUAAUAAUAUUAUUAUUCCUUAUAUUAUUCUCAUCAUAUAUUAAUAAUAUUUCUUCUCUCAUAAUAAAUCUUGUCAAGUUGCUAUGGUGAAGGCAACCCAAAAGGACCAUGCAUAAUCGGGUCAAAUACUUGCCUAAUAUAGUUUCAGCCUUAGACACUAUUCCAACAGAUACAUCACAAUAGUAAUAGUUAAAAUUUUACAACCCAUAAUUUAAACAAAACAAAAGACAAAUUUUUGAAAAUAAGAUUGUUCAAAAGUUAACUUCAUAACAUAACUUCCACACAAUGCAACAUGCUCUAUGAUGAUGAAUCUUUAUAUCCACUUACUAAUUAUUUCUUGAAAAGUGUGUAAAAUGAGGGCCAACUAUGAAAAUAGUUGAUGAGUUCACAAGUUCACUAAAUCAAGAUUUGGUAUAAAAGUUUCCAUAAAUAGAAUUAACUGCUAUAUUGAGAAACAAAGUUCGUUGCUAUAAUAAGAAAACAAGUUUAUUGCGAAGACAUGUAAAUAAGUUUCCAGUAAUAAAAGUUUGUUGCUAAAAUAAGAAACAAAGUUUGUUGCUAUACUAAGUAAACUAGUUUGUACGUAUGUGAGCAAACAGCGAGUUCACAACCAAGGCUAUGAUAGAUACCCUAUCACGAUCUAUGGUUAUCGUUCCAUAGAUGAAUAUGGUAUCAUCCACUUAAGCAAUCGGGUGUGUGGGGAGUUGUCAAUUCCUAAUAGCGCUAUCAAUAAUGAGCAUGGACUCAAAUGAGUUAAUGAGUUGUGUGAACUUUCCAGGGGCUUAACCAUGAUAAGGCCUCAUGAAUUAACAAUAGCAUACACAUACAUAGCAAAUCACUUUUGAUACAAUUGAAAAUAAGUACAACAAACAUAAUUUAGUAAACAAAAUGCGUUUCCACCCCCAAAACAUUUAAAAACCUAAAAUAGGGGGAGGCAUGAAUACUCACAAUGUUUCUAGUUACUACAAGUGGUUCCUCGGAAUACACCAACGCCUUACUACUGGGAUCCUACAAUAUCAAACACAUGCUAGUGAGUUUCUAUGUCGAAAUCUAACACUAAUAUACUAAAUUCUACAUAUAGAGAAAUGCCAAAAUUUUGUUCUAAUAUUGGUUUUAUAUGAAUUGGUAACAAUUUUUAUGAAAUGGUGAAAUUUUAUAACUCAUGUGAUUAAGACAAUUUUUGAUAUUAUUUUCCAGAUUUUUGUAAUAUUAACUAAAGGGUAUUUCAAUACAUGUAAAGGUGUUUCAAACUCUUAAAAUCCAAAAAUGUUAUCAAAUAGUUUCCAAAACAUUUCCCUUGAAUUUUUGAUGUGAUUAGCUAUUUUUUCCAAAUUUUUAAGCCUUUAUAUCAAUAUAAAUUAAUGAAUAAUUAUUAAAUAGUUAAUGUAAAUUAACAAAAAAAAUUUAAACUUCAUAUACAAUGUACAUAAUCUGGGAAAAAUAACAGAUGUGAUUUUUAUAUACUAGAGUUUGAUUCUAUGGAUUUAAGUGUAUUUAAUCUUAGGAAAAUAGAAGAAAAUAGCAUACAGAAGAGAAAAAUCAUCCAAAUUUUUAUGUAGCAUCCUAAUAAAAUAUAAAGUAUUUUGGUAAAUUUUCAUAAAUUUUGGAUAAGAAAAACUGUUUUUCCUGUUUUUAGCCCAUUAUAUACACAAAAAUCAUGGGAAAAUAGAUAUACAUUAUGAAAAAUUCCCAAAAUAUUUUUCUAAGUAUUCCACUUGGGGUAGGAGCUUUGAAAAGUUAUAUAUGAUCAUUUGACAUUCUCUAAAGUAUUUUGAUGAUUUAUUUAAACUAAAUAAAAAGAAAAUUAAAAAUCAUACUAAAUUGUAAACAAAAAUCGAUGAAACUUAAUGAGAUGUCAAUAUUUACUUUAGGGGUCAUCCACGAAUUUAUCUAGGAUUUAUGCUACUCAGAAAGCAAUUUAAAUGAUUUAUGGUCUUAUUCUCUUGUAAUAAUUAUAAUAAAUCAAAUAAAUGAAAACAACUCUUUGAAUUUUUCAUAUCCUCUUAUUAUCUUACUGGGAUUUUGAGAAAAAAAUUUCUGGAACAGAAAAGGAUAUUUAGAUUUUUUUAUGAAUAAAAUCGUUUACAUGCGUUAUUAACAAUGUACUUUGAUCAUCAAGCUCUUAAACUUGAUGUUCAUCACAUGCAUAACGGUUUGAAGACCAUGUAUGAACAUAUUUUGUUCAUAAUGGUGUUUUCAAAGGAAAAUUUUGGAUGCAUAAGGUGGAUGAACCUUUAAAACUUGUAAAAAUAUGUAUUCUAUGGUUUGACAUAGGUUUUGGUCCUUAGAUUUCACCAUUAAACAACAUGCAUGUUUUUCUUGGGUGAAAUCCUACCACCAUCAUCAUCAAACUUGACAUUCAUGGCUAUGCUCAUGAAUGUUCAUAAAUAAUGGUGUAGAUGAGGGAGAAGUGUAAGAAAACUUUUAAAACUAGAAAUAAACGUGAAAGAGAAUGAAGGAUUUUUGGUGAUUACCUUGAAGAACAACCCUAGAAGAUGAAGAUUUAAAGAUUUGUAGGUGUUAUUGCCUUAAGAUUUUCAUGGGUUUAGAGAGAGAAAGAGAGAAAAUGAGUGUUGAAAAUGGUGGAGUGCGAGAGAGAGUGAAGAGAGGGAGAUGGAAUGAAGAAGUGAUAUAAUGAUUGAAAAUUUUAGGGAAGAGAGUGCAUUGGAGAGACGGUGGCCGGAUUUUGGGAGAAUGAGAGAGGACCUCUCUCUCCUAAUUCAAAUUAAAGAAUUUCUCCCUUCAAUUUCUAUAAACUUCUAAUUUUUAUAAAAGGCUUCUUUAUUUAAAUCUUGAUUUAUUAAAAAUCUUGUUUUUAACUCAUAAAAUAUGAUUAAUGUUUGAUAAUUAAAUUUUUAUGUCUUUGAUUAUAUCCCAUAACUUAAUUAUUUAAAUUUUAUAUAAUGAGGUUCAUAACAUAUCAUAUAGAGUUUUUAGGUUUUAAAGUUUAUAAAUUUGGAUUUUAGGACUCUUUAGGGCUUUUGGAACAUUGUUAGAUAUUUAACAUCAUAAUGAACUGAAUUUAGAAGUUUUAAUUUGUUUUUAGGGUUUCAUACCCUUCUUUUAUUUUAACAAAUGUUUGGAUUUUGUUCCAAUUUGGGUAUUAGCAUUUCCUACAGUAGCUAGACAACAUACUAGAAUCGUAAGAGUCAAGUAUAUUAGUCCUAGAUUUUAGUUGUAUCCUAAUUUCUACAAGAUUCUGACCUAAUUUCUACUACUAGGCCAUGGCAUGAUGUGUAUAUGUGGUUUAUGAAAGAUGCAUGAGUCCGAGAAUGGCCUGAAUUUAACAGUUGUCACAAAUUCCAAUCCCGAUUUUACGAUCCUAAUCUUGCAAACCCAAAAAUAUCCUACGUAGGAUCAUGGUCUUGACAACCUUAGUAUGUCAUAUAUAAAUAAUCAUUCGAAUGCUAAAUAAAUAUAAUUAAUAAAUUAACUUUUUCUUCAUAUCAUAUAAACUCCCUUAACAAAAUACCAUCUCCGAUUAAGACAUAUGUUCAAACUCAUUUACCUAACACAAAUCCACCUCAUCCCAUUAAACAUUAGAAAAAAACCAAUAAAACAUAAUCAUAAUUGAUAUGUAUUUAUAAAUAAACAAAAGCAGUAUGGGAUGUUAACAAAAUAAACCUAAAGAACCAUGAAAGUAAUGGCAUCCUUCACCUUAAGCCAUCUACUAGGAAGUUUAAAAGAAAUAGCAAAACUAGUUCUCUGAUGACAAUGACAAUUUGGUAAUUACAUGAAGAAAAACAAAUAAAUUAAGAAAGACUUGUCAGGGGGAGUCUACAAAAUACACCCGUGUAUCGGCCAUAACACGAUGAUUACCUCCAAUAUAAACGAACUUUGGCUCCUCGACAUGUGCUCCACCUGGAAAAUGAGACCUAAGAGGCUCGAUGCAUUUCAACUAUUCCUCAUGUUCAACACCCGGUGCAGCAAGUACAAUCAUAAGAGCAGUAUCGUUUUCCUGAAAUAUUCAAAAAUUGUAACUACAAAGAAUAACACACAUUUACUUAUGGGUUGUUUUUUUUAGCCUUAGUUAGUUCUGUACACUACGAUACUUAAGAGAAAUUGUUCAAGACUAGCUUUUUUAAUAAUUCUAGAUGAUGGGUUUUAAGAAAAACAAUAUCCUACGUGCACAUCUAAAACCCUAAAGCUUUGGAUCUAGGUUUCUCUAAUAUACAUGAAAAUUUAUCCAAUGCUUGUAAACCCUAAUCUAGCAUACAACAAAACUAAUUGAAUACCAAAUAAACAAGUUAGAUGAGUACCUUGAUUGUUGAUUGUAGAUCUUGAAGCUUUGAGAACCUUAGCACUCCAAAUGUUGUGCCUCUAAUGAAUCACAAACACCAAAAGCAAUUGGAUGAAGCAAGAGAGAGAGGGGAGAGGGAAAAAUCGGCUCCAAGACUUCUAGGGUUAAGGUGUUGCCAAAAUCCCAUGCCCAAGGGGUCCUUAUAUAGGUGUGGGAAUUAGGGUUUCAGUGAUUAUCCUUAUAUGGUUACUUAGCCACCAAGAAGCCCAAGGAUAAUUCUAGAAGCCCAAGGAUAAUUCUAGAAGCCCAAGGAUAAUUCCACCCUAUAUUCUAGGGUUUCCUUACCCAACUUUGCAACUAUCACAUAAUUACAAGUUCAGUCCCCUUUAUUCAGUUAACCUCUUUUGACCACAAAAUUAAUUGUUGACCAAUGUUAAUUAAAUAAAUAUGAUUUCUCCUUUAAUAUAUUAUUCUUAUAAUAUAUAAAUAAACCAUAAUAACCUCUUUCUCCAUUAUUCAUCCAGUCAAGUUGUUUUGGUGAAGGAAACCCAAAAGGACCAUGUUAUAACCGAUUCAGGUACAUACCAAAUAUAGCUAUUGAUAUGUACAUAUUUAGCCCUUUAUUUAAUAUUGAUUUUUAUCAUUUAUUAGCUAUUUAUUUUCAUAUUAUGAACAAAAGAUACUUAAAAGUGUUUGAAUUGUGUUUUCAGUCCAAAAGGAAUGCUUGGAAGCAAAAAGAAACAGGAGUAGCCAUUGGGAAGUUUUGGAAUGAUCAAAAGAAGAAAAGACCAAAAAUGGAAGGAACUCGGCAAGUCUGGCAUCGGCUCGACGAGUUGCUACGAAGAUUUGCGAAGCUAAGGAAUCCUUAACUUUCCGUAAACGGGAGAACAAAGAUCCAACCCUAAAUCCGAUUCCGAAGGAGAUUAGAGGCAAUUUUCAUUAUUCUUAAUUCAAUCUAUUGUUUUUCAUCAUGUAUAGACAUAUAGAUUUCAAUUUUACGCUUCCAAUUGCCUCAAUCAUGAGCUAAAACCUUUUAACUUCUGUUUGGGGAGACAAUAUUGAUACUAUGGUUUGAUUUAUGGUAGGAUUAGUUUAAUAUUGGUGAUUCUGUUAUUUUAAGCUUGUUAAAGAACCUCAUGUGUGAAUGAUAACUAUUUUUCUGUUAAUAGGAAGUUAAUUAAGUGCAUGAACAUCUCUUAAUUGUUUACCUCGUAUAAUUUAUGUGAACACUUUAUUAUAUGACUACGAAUAACGAAUGUGAAACUAGAAUUAAUAAGAAAAUAAGUAAAUUUACGUGUGAGCUUGUGCGAUGACCAUCAGCAAGAGGUUAACUAAAGGGCCAAAUUAGUUAACCAAUACAAGUCUUAAUUAACCCGAAUAAAUAACCUAGGGAAUUAAAUUAAAUUAGACAAUUGGCCACUGUUUGAGUUAGUUUGGUUUCUAAGGAUUAGUGUAACGAAUGUGAGCCUAAUCACUUAAAACGCUAGACAAUAGAAGAAUUAAUCCAUUGCACUAUUACCAUAAAAUCAACCAUAAGAUCAAUUGAAUUGAACCUAAACAGAAGUCUCCUUCAUUAUUGAAUUUAGUCAAAUCUUUGCAUAUCUAGUUUUUAGUUAAUUAGUUGAAGUAUUAGUUAAUAAGUUUCUAGUCUUGUAAAACUAGAGAAAACCCCCUCUUUUAUUUGUUAGUUGCUUUUAGAUAAUUUUAGUAAUUAGUUCAAAUUGUCGUUCCCUGAGUUCGAUACCCUGCUUACUAGAUCUAUACCGCCAAUUGGCAGGUCCACUGCCUUUUGUCUGAUUAAUUACAUUUUAUAAGUAGGAAUAAAACUAGUUGAGUAAACACACAUCAAGUUUUUGGCGCCUUUGCCGGGGUUCAGUUCCAACUUUGAAUUGAUUACCAUUGUUAUCGAUCCUUUGUGUGAGAUUUUUCUUGCACAAAGUUACUGUUUUUAUUAGAUUUAGCAUUAGGAUUAAAUUUUAGUUAGUAGUUUUUAGAAAAUUUUGUUUAAAAUUUUUGUUGUUUUUGCACUCGACUCGCCGAGUCCCUUCGAAAAGACUCGACGAGUCCAUAGCUGAACAGAAAAUUUUCGUUUUUUAUUUUCUUUUGUUCUUUUUAUGCAUGUUUUUUUUACCGCACGUUUAUGACCAGGGGAGGAGGCACACCACUGAUCCCACCUUUUGACGAUCCGGAAGCAACACUUACAAGAAACAAAGGAAUAACAAUUGGAGAUGUCGAAAAACCGAAAAACUCACCACUAAGGAAUUUGAAAUCCGUUUUCAACAAGAAGAAGGGCAAGAAAGUCGGAGAAUCCAGUACCUCUUUGGUGGACAAAGACCCAAUUAAGGAGGACACCGAGUACGAAACCGAAGGAGAAGAAGACUCUACAUUCGGGCAUGAUUCCAAUUUUGACGAGGAAUUAGCUAUUCCUAUGGCUAACAUCGAUGAAGUCCCCAUGGGGGAAUGGAAAAAGAGGAUAUGAGAUGACACCGGCCCGAGACUUGUGCAACCCGCAAUUCCAACAACUGCCACUUUUCAGCUCAAGGGUCACAUCCUUGCUCAACUCAAGGAGAUACCCUUUUAUGGGAAAGACCACGAAUAUGCUUAUAAACACUUGGAUGAAGUUAAUGAUUUAGCUGAUUACUUUAAUGUUCCAAAUGUGCCUCGCGAAACCCAGCUGCUUCGUAUGCUUCCAGUAACACUCAAAGGUGCUGCGAAAGAUUGGCUCAAGUUACUCCCUCCUGGAUCCAUCACUACAUGGGCUAAGAUGAAAGACGAGUUCAUUGACCAAUUUUGCCCACCAUCAAAAAUAUCCAAGUUGAAAAAGGCCAUAGCCAAUUUUGAGCAACAAGCGGGCAAAUCACUUUAUGAGGCGUGGGAGAGGUACAAAGGUUUAUUGAGGAAUUGCCCACAUCACGACUUAAAUAGUCAACAAGAAGUCUCCAUUUUCUAUGAUGGAGUCAAUGUGACACCAAGGCAAUUACUUGAUUCGCAAGGUCCGCUCACAAGGAAGGCACCCCCGGUGAUUAAACAAUUAAUUGAAGAAUUCUCUAAGCAUUCUAGAGAAUAUCAUAAUCCUAGGAAUAAUACAAUUAAGGGAGAGGUGAAUUAUGCUUCUGAAGACAUGGAGACAAUGAUGGCGAUGUUGAAAAGCAUGGAUAGAAGAAUGGAUAAAAUGGAUCAAACAAUCCAUGCUAUUCGGGUCGGUUGUGAAAAUUGCAAUGGACCUCACCUUACGAGAGAUUGCGACUUGGACGAGAAUGGAAUUAAAAAGGCACAAGUAUGCUAUUCAAGCGGUGAUAGGUUUGAUUAUGAUUGGCGGAAACCGAAGAAAGAAUGGCUACCCUAUGAUGAAUACAAAAAGGAAAAGGAGGAGAAGUUUAGACAACAAGCAAGGGGUAUGUACCAAAAAGAGGAACCAGUGCAAGACAUGAAACCCAACUUAGAAGAGAUGCUAAUAAAAUUUAUAGCCGCUUCUGAGAAAAGACACAAUGAUCACGAUGUUGCGAUACAAGAAACAAGAACCAUAUUAAGGAACCAGCAAGCAUCCAUUCAUAACAUCGAGAAGCAGAUAGGGCAACUAGCUCAACAAGUUAACCAAAGACAAAUGGGUGAACUUCCAAGUAAAACCGAUAAUAACCCGAGAAUGAGGAACGUAAAUGCUAUAACAACUAGUUUUGCGGAAAUUUUCACUCCUCUGACUCUUACACGAAAGGCCUUAACAAAGGUGCAAGCAGAAAAGAUAGAAGACUCGAGUUCAGCAAAACCCGACUUGACUCGCCGAGUCCAUCUCAUGGACUCGACGAGUCCAAGGCCUGAUGACAAAUCUGCUAAUUCUUUAAAGCCUUACAGGCCACCUUUGCCAUUCCCAAUUCGAGCCAUACCUUAUGGGAAGGUUAAAGAAUACAGAGCUUUCAUGGAGAAUGUAAAGGCCCUUCAAGUCAAUACUCCAUUUAUUGAAAUAAUACUUCAAACGCCUAAAUAUGUAAGCUUGCUUAAGGAUCUCUUUAUUGCUAGAAAAAAUUUGGCAGAAGUCGCUGAGUUGGUGUUAAAUGAGCUGCCAGAGAAGAAGGGUGAUCUGGGUAGCAUUACCUUACCUUGCUAAUUUGGGAAUCUAAUUACCACUCGAGCGUUAACGGAUUCGGGUGCAAGCAUUAAUCUCAUGCCAUACUCUUUCUUCAAAAAGUUGAACUUGCCGGAGCCAAAGCCUAUUGACAUUAAGAUCCAUCUAGCCGAUAAGACCAUCAUUCAUCAAAAAGGUGUUUAUGAUGAUCUUCUCAUCAAGGUAGAUAAGUUUGUGUUUCCUGUGGAUUUUAUAGUGCUUGACAUGGAAGAAGACCCCAAAGUUCUCAUCAUCUUGGGGAGACCAUUUUUGAACACCACUUAUGCAUUGGUCGAUGUAUGCGAAUCCACCCUAAUACUACAGGUGGGGAACGAUUCAGUAGUGUUUAAGAAUACACAAGACAUUAAGCAUACAGAGUCAAAGAAAUAAGAAGUUUCCUCAAUAGAUUCGAGUGAUGAAUUGUUAGAAAAAGAGCUUGUACUUUUGCAAGAAGAGGAUCCAAGUAAAUUUCUACUAACUUCUAGAGGAAAUUUUGUUGCUGAAAAAGAUUUAAAGUAGAUAGAAAAGUUACUAGAUGAGGUUGAUUCAGAAGAAACAAUGGAGUUUGUGGAAUACGCAGAGACUCGCCGAGUAACAUCAACAGACUCGACGAGUCCAGUCAAAAACUUCAGUAUGUGGACAACCUUCACCUGCUAUUUACAAGUUCUUUUCUUGUCUUCGACAUGGAAAUUUUUCCUGAUCCUUGGGAAGGUCCAAAAGCAGAAGGCGAAAUUAUUGAAAAGUAUUGUGACUUCCAAAACGCUCAAGUAGCUUACCUUGAUAAAAUAAUACAAAAGAUGAAGAAAUUCGACUUGACAAGGAGGGGAGCAUGGGAGAAAAGGAUAGUGCAAGGGUUGAUGAUUUAACUAAUUCAUCCCUUGAGUCACAAAUUGCUAAUCAGGAAUUAUUGUCGCCUACAAUUGACAGAACAAAGCCUCGUGCCCGCAUCUCUACUGUUUAUGAAGUAUUCACAUUUGAACCACCAGACUCUUUAGUGAGGGAAAAGAAGUGUGGAAAAAGGGCUAGGAGUGAAUCUGAAGAUAAUGCUCAAAAGAAGAGGAAAGAGGAAUUGAGAAGAGCAUACAAGAGGAAAAGACAUGUUUACAAAACGAAAUAUAAGCAACAAAAGAUUAAGCAUGGCAUCCCGAUGAAGAACGACAAAGAAACAUAGAGUGGGAGGGAGUCCAACUAAAGACUCCUCAAAAAGAAGCGCUUGGCAGGAGGCAACCCGUUAUGAGAGUUUGCUUUCUUUUUCCUUUAUUAUUUGCAUUUUAAUUUUUGUUUGAUAUUUUUAGAAUUUUUCUGUUUUCAUCUUCUAAAUCAUCAAAAAUGAUUGCUUAAGGGUAAGCAUGGUCUGAGUGUGGGGUGGAUUGAAUAUCAUUGCAAAGAGAUGACAAAAUCAUAUAAAUUUUUUUAGAUUGCAAGUGACUCGGCGAGUUAGGACCCUAACUCGACGAUUCUAUUCAAAGUCCGGAUAACUUUCAUUCACGACCAGACUUAGCGAGUCUGACACCGACUCGACGAUUCAACUUUAUUUACUGAAAAAAAGUAUAUAAUUUUACAUAUGGUAAAACUAUGAUUUUAACCCUCAUUUGGAACACAUCUCAGCCAACACACUCGCCGUGCACCUCUCUCUCUCUCUCUCUCUCUCAAGCAUUCAUCAACUUCUUCCAAUUUUCUCUCAAUUUUUCGAAUUUCAUCAAGCAAGGAACCAUGUUUUCUAGGGGUCAAACGUCUCAAGGUAGCCAAGGGGAUCACCCUUGGUUAGAUUUUCCAAUGCUUGAAUCCAAAUCAACCAUGACUAGAUGGAAGAAAAAGCUUGUUGACAUCAAGAGAAAAGAUAUUUACGUGCCUACUGCCAUAAACUGGGAAUGGAUUGGAGAGGUUCAUUACGAAGAAGAAUUGGCACCUUAUUUGAUGAAAAGCUUUGUCCAUAAUGGAGCUUCUCAAAUAUGUGACGGAUGGAGCCAGCUUUUCCAGAUCCAGAAGCCGGUAUAUCAAGAGCUUUACUAGGAGUUCUUUUCCACGAUUACUUUUCGAGGUGGAGAAGAUUGUUAUAACCCUGGGAGCCUCACUUUUUGUCUUGGGGGCGAGGUCCGCCAAUGCUCCAUGGUAGAACUUGCUUGGCGUUUGGGAAUUUAUGACCAACAGUUGGUCCGUACAGCUGUUUUUGGUACAUUUUUGGAACACUCUCAUAAGGUGUUCCCGGAUGGCAUUACGAGCUCACGUUGGUGGAACACUAUCGCUAACAAUGUUUAUAUUCCUAAAUCUGCUCAAGAGGGUAGCAUCCGAUCACCUACUCACCACCUUAUUCACCACCUAAUAGCCAACACAAUUAACCAAAGGAAAGAUGACGACAAGGUUCCAAACCUUGAUGUUUUCUACCUUUGGUGCAUCAUCACACCAAACGUUUUCUGUAACAUUCCAUGGUGUUUGGCCACUUAUUUAAGCGAAGGGGCGGUUAAGGACCGCAAAACAUCAAAGAUUAAUGGCGUGAUGUUUGCGACCCAUUUGGCUCAUUCCUAUGGAUUAAUGGGUGCAGGAGCAUGUGGGAUGUUAACGGAGGUUUCAACCCCUCCUUUUAACACCAUACUUUUUAGAAGGGCAAGGAUUGUCGAGGAUAUUGGUGGAGGACAUUUUAUCAUACCCCAGGAUGAUGUGGUAAUUGGUCCCGUGGAGCCGGAUCGGCGAGUGAGGAGGCGUGAGUGGGAAGUGGAAGAGGAACCGCCGGUGAUUCCGGUUGACAAUGACGAAGUACCAAUGGAUUGGUACAAUAUCGAGAUGAGGCGGAUUCAAGAUCUAAUGGCGAGGGGUAUAAAUUUUAGCAACGAAUCCCACGUUCGGCUUUUUGAUCAGUUUCAUAUUCCACACAUUGAUGGGGGUAACUUCCCCUACAUUCCAUCUUGGGACGAGGUCAUUAACGCAAGGCGUAGUGGAGCCAGAGGAAGUGGAGCUAUGCAUGGAGGGGACGAUGAUGAGGAAGCAGAUGAAGACUAGUAUAUUUUUUUUACUUGUGUUUUGUUGAACAAUUUAUUUUUAUUUGCUUGGUUUUGGUUGUUUGAAUUUUCAGUAAGUUAGGAUUUAUUUAAUUUAUAUCCUCAUGGUUUGUUUUAAGUUCUCUUUUCAGAAUUUGGAAUGGGUCAAGUCUAAAAGGUCUCGAGAGUUAUAGGAGUUUCGAGUCUAGGCGAAAGGGUUAAUUAAGUCCAAGUUUUGAGUCCGGUCAUAAGGAGCAUUAAAAUGAGUCUUAUUACUGAAGAGGAGCAUUAGAAUUAAUUCAAAUAUGAAGUAAUUGGAGUCUAUACAAAUAGACCUGGAGCAGGAAGCGUAGUAUUUUCACCCAGCGGCUGACUUGUCGAGUGCAUCUACUGAAUCGACAAGUCCAAGAGUAAAAACGCGAUUUCUAUGCUUUCCCGCUACGACUCAUCGAGUGUAUCUACUGACUCGACGAGUUGAUAUGAAUUUCACCACUUCGCUGCUGACUUGUUGCUUAUAUACCAUGGCGUUUGGUUCUUAUUUUGAAGAGUGAUUUCUAGAAUUUUUUGAUUGUUUUUCCUGCAUUUUUGGAGCUUUCAACUACACGUGGCAUGUCACCCAAGGCAUGGAUGAGCUGUGCCCAUGUCUAAAGUCAGCUGAAGAUGGAGCUUUACAUGAAGAAGAUCGACCUCGCCACUACUACACCAAGGGAGUUUGUUCCAAUUCUCUCUUUAUUUUAUUGUUCUUUAUCAUGCAUACUAUGCAAUGGGGACAUUACAUGAAUUAAGUGUGGGGUAGGGGGUUGAUUACAUUAGUUAACUUAGAAUCUUAAUUUAGGAUUAAUUUUAAAAUUUUUUCAUAAAUAAAAUUGCUAGGGCUAAUUAAGAAUAUUUGUUAAAAAACAAUUAUAGAUUAUGCUAGUAUUAUGUUUGAUAAUUCUAUGAGGACCCCAAAUGUUUAGUUGAGCCUAUACACGUUCUAGUGCAUUUGUGGCCUCCUUUAUUCUAGUGAAAUCAUGGGACAAAAACACAACAUCGCUUAGUUUGAGGGAUGCAAUAUGUUUAGCAUCAUGUACCAGAAAUGUAUCCAGGAAAUUUUUUAUCUUUAAUCAAUAAAGGUUGGAGUUGAGCACUCCUGCUUAAGCAUGUAGGUAUUGAGUGAAAAAGUUAGUAACAUGUAUAAAAAAACGAGAGAAUUACAAGAAAAGUUGAAAGAGUUUUGGAGCUAUUAAAGUGUAAAUUUGAAGAUCAAAAUUCCAAAAAUUCAAAAGUUGAAGAUACCCAAAAAUCAAAGAAAAUAAAAAAAGGUGGCAAAUUUGAAGAAUUCAAAGAAUUAAAGAUUAAAUUAUCAAAGAAGUGAAGAAUUCCGAAAAAGCUCCAUAGUGGUAUCAAAAAUUGUAAUUUUCUAGAUUAUGUAUGCUUGGGUUGCUCAAGCAAAAAUACUUUAAGACUAGGAGGUUUUCUGGGGAUGGACUCGGAGGAAUGCAUAAAAUGAGCAUUGUUCAAAAGAAGUGGGCGAGUGUUUAUGAGGAUUGUGAGUAUUUAGGAUGAGGGGGUCGUUUAGGAAAAAUUUAGACACAAAUGCAUGUGUUGCGGUCUUGGCAUAAUGGCUGGGUUUGAUUGGGAUUGUCUAUGUAAUAUUAGUAUGCUUAAUUUCAGUUUUUCUUGGGGGAAAGCAAAAGUCAAGUGUGGGGUAUUUUGAUAUGUGCAUAUUUAUCCCUUUAUUUAGUAUUGACUUUUAUCAUUUAUUAGCUAUUUAUUUGCAUAUUCUGAACAAAAGAUACUUAAAAGUGUUUGAAUUGUGUUUUCAGUUCAAAAGGAAUGCUUGGAAGCAAAAAGAAGCAAGAGUAGCCACUGGGAAGUUUUGGAAUGAUCAAAAGAAGAAAAUACCAAAAAUGGAAGGAACUCAGCUAGUCUAGCAUCGGCUCGACGAGUCGCUACGAAGAUUCGCGAAGCUGAGGAAUCCAUAACAUUCCGUACACGGGGAUUAAGUGAUGGACUCGACGAGUCAGUCAUGGACUUGGCGACUUGGUUCGAAUUUAUAAAUACGGCUUUUCAAAUUGAUUCAAGAGGAGGAGAGAGAACCCCUGGGGAGAAAAGCUGCGAAUUAAAGUCAAAGAAGACCUGGAGAACGAAGAUCCAACCCUAAAUCCGAUUCCGAAGGAGAUUAGAGGCAAUUUUCAUUAUUCUUAAUUCAAUCUAUUGUUUUUCAUCAUGUAUAGACAUAUAGAUUUCGAUUUUAUGCUUCCAAUUGCCUCAAUCAUGAGCUAAAACCUUUUAACUUCUGUUUGGGGAGACAAUAUUGAUACUAUGGUUUGAUUUAUGGUAGGAUUAGUUUAAUAUUGGUGAUUCUGUUAAUUUAAGUUUGUUAAAGAACCUCAUGUGUGAAUGAUAACUAUUUUUCUGUUAAUAGGAAGUUAUUUAAGUGCAUGAACAUCUCUUAAUUGUUUAACUCGUAUAAUUUAUGUGAACACUUUAUUAUAUGACUAGGAAUAACGAAUGUGAAACUAGAAUUAAUAAGAAAAUAGGUAAAUUUACAUGUGAGCUUUUGCGAUGACCAUCAACAAGAGGUUAACUAAAGGGCCAAAUUAGUUAACCAUUACAAGUCUUAAUUAACCCAAAUAAAUAACCUAGGGAAUUAAAUUAAAUUAGACAACUGGCCACUGUUUGAGUUAGUUUGGUUUCUAAGGAUUAGUGUAACGAAUGUGAGCCUAAUCACUUAAAACGGUAGCCAAUAGAAGAAUUAAUCAAUUGCACUAUUACCAUAAAAUCAACCAUAGGAUCAAUUGAGUUGAACCUAAACAGAAGUCUCCUUCAUUAUUGAACUUAGUCAAAUAUUUGCUUAUCUAGUUUUUAGUUAAUUAGUUUAAGUAUUAGUUAAUAAGUUUCUAGUAUUGUAAAACUAGAGAAAACCCCCUCUUUUAUUUGUUAGUUGCUUUUAGAUAAUUUUAGUAAUUAGUUCAAAUUGUCGUUCCCUGAGUUCGAUACCAUGCUUACUAGAUCUAUACCACCAAUUGAUAAGUCCACUGCCUUUUGUGUGAUUAAUUACAUUUUAUAAAUAGGAAUAAAACUAGUUGAGUAAACACACAUCAGUUAUGGACUUAGACACUAAUCCAACAGUCUCCCACUUGGAUAAGUCUAAUAACUACAAAUAUAAGUAUCACUUUAGGAUCCGAUUAGCAAUCACAGUUCUCAAAAAUCUUGAUCUUAUCAAUAACCUGUCCUUUAGAUAAGGGAUCAUAUAGUCCUCCGUUCUAGAUAUUGUGCGGAUAAUUACAUGGAACAUAGUCAUACUUACUGUCCAGCAGUUUGUUUCUCGAUCUUUAAUUUAUUUUACAUAGAACUUAAUUGAACAUGUCAAUUCAGUCUUGAUCGGGCCCGACAUAUAAGUCAAACCAAAUCAUUGAGGGGCCCAGAUAUCUCUUUUACCCUCUUAGGAUAAAAGGAACAGAUAAACUCCGGUUUAUAUGCAUUUAUCAUUCACUCAUCAAAUCAUGCACAACAAUGUGUUUUAUAACAUCAAGUUUCUGAUGCGUUUACACAUUAUCAAUGCACAACCAACUUGCAAACAACAAACCAUAUAUCUAGGUUUAAAGACUAUAUAAUAUUAUCGUCUUGCGAUCACUCAUGAUAAAUUUCAUGAAGUGAUAUCAGCAAGCGUGAGUUUAAUCCAAUGCUCAAAUCUUAUCCAUAAGCACUCAUGAACGUUGCAGCAAACCUUUGUUGUGUCUAAUACACUUUACACAGUCUACAAACCAAUUCAUGACAGCCUUCUUUCAUACCUACUUCCAAAGUAUAAGCGACUACGGACUGUUCGAAUAAUCGUAUUAUUCAGGAAGUCAAAACAUGCAAAGUGAAACAAUAGGAAAAUAAUUAACACAAGACAAUAACUUUAAUCAUAAAUAAUACUCCUUUAUUUUAUCAUCAAAUGUUAAUUACAUUUAUCUAUUACACGUUUUGAAGCUAUCUAAUCUAAACUAAUUUCGUCCUUCAGCCCAAUGCUCCUAGUAUGCUGCAAGUGCUUAAUCCUACUCAGUCCCUUCGUAAGGGGAUCUGUUGUGUUAUCCGCUGACGAUACCCUCUUCACUAUGAUGAGUCCCUCUUCCACCUGAUGUAUAAUAAAAUGAUAUUUCCUGUGGAUAUGUCGGGAUCUGCCAUGAUCCCAAGGUUCCUUGGUCAAGGCAACCGCACCUUCGUUAUCACAGAAAAUUUCCAUAGGCCCCUUUACGGCUGGAACAACUCCAAGGUCACCGAUGAAGUUCUUCAACCAUAUCACCUCCUUUGACGCUUUGCUCGCUGCAAUGUACUCUGAGUCGCACGUUGAAUCAACUACAAUCUCCUGCUUGGAACUUUUUCAGGUCACUACUACUCCAUUUAAGGUAAAGAUCCAGCCUGACUGAGAAUGAUAAUCGUCUUGGUCGGUCUGAAAACUAGCAUCACUAUACCCUCGCACCCUUAAGUCAUCACUCCCACCGAGGACUAGAAACCAUUCCUUGGUCCUCAAAAGGUACUUAAGAAUAUUCUUGACUGCGGUCUAAUGCGUUCUACCAGGGUUCCCUUGAUAUCUGUAGACCAUGCUCAAAGUGAAGGCCACAUUAGGGCGAGUACAAUUCAUAGCAUACAUGAUCGAGCCAACUGCGGAAGCGUAAGGUACUCGAAUCAUUUUUGCUAUCUCAGCUUCGGUACUCGGACUUUGAGUCUU